UGCCAGCAGCCGCGGUAAUACGUAGGGCGCGAGCGUUGUCCGGAAUUAUUGGGCGUAAAGAGCUCGUAGGUGGCUUGUCGCGUCUGCCGUGAAAGCCCAUGGCUUAACUGUGGGUCUGCGGUGGAUACGGGCUGGCUAGAGGUAGGUAGGGGCAAGCGGAAUUCCUGGUGUAGCGGUGAAAUGCGCAGAUAUCAGGAGGAACACCGGUGGCGAAGGCGGCUUGCUGGGCCUUACCUGACGCUGAGGAGCGAAAGCGUGGGGAGCGAACAGGAUUAGAUA
RNAcentral lists this ribosomal RNA (279 nucleotides) under uncultured bacterium. Its description in RNAcentral is "partial 16S ribosomal RNA". It matches the Rfam family "Bacterial small subunit ribosomal RNA", at positions 506 to 784 of the family's 1533-position model. The record is from RNAcentral.